Molecule: ribosomal RNA, 730 nt
Filed under: nematode environmental sample AGO-2003
Lineage: Eukaryota; Metazoa; Nematoda
Description: partial 18S ribosomal RNA
Rfam family: Eukaryotic small subunit ribosomal RNA
Source: RNAcentral
GCCCUUCGCAAAUUACCCACUCUCGGCACGGGGAGGUAGUGACGAAAAAUAACGAGGUGGUUCUCUAUGAGGCCAACCAUCGGAAUGGGUACAAUCUAAAUCCUUUAACGAGGAACUAUUGGAGGGCAAGUCUGGUGCCAGCAGCCGCGGUAAUUCCAGCUCCAAUAGCGUAUAUUAAAGUUGUUGCGGUUAAAAAGCUCGUAGUUGGAUCUGCGACCGAGGAGAGCGGUCACCCGAUGGGUUGCUACUGCUUUUCCUGGUCUAAUUCUGCGGUUUUCCCUUGAUGCUCUUCAUUGAGUGUCUUGGGUGACCCGCAACGUUUACUUUGAAAAAAUUAGAGUGCUCAAAGCAAGCUAUCAGCUUGAAUAGUCGCGCAUGGAAUAAUAAGAGAGGAUAUGAACCUGUUUUGUUGGUAAUAGGCUCAUAUAAUGAUAGAGGGGGACAAUCGGGGGCAUUCGUAUUGCGACGUUAGAGGUGAAAUUCUUUGGAUCGUNNCAAGACNGACUACUNNGAAAGCAUUUUGCCCAANAAUGGUUUUCNUCAAUCAAAACCAAAAGUUAGAAGGUCCNAAAGGCNAUCAAAAUACCCCCCUANUUUUUACCCGUAAACGAUGCCCCAACUCNGAAAAUCCNCCCNNUGUUNAAAUGUUUGACUUUGCNGGGANUCAUUCCCGGAAACCCAAAAUUUGGGUUUCCCGGGGGGAGUNUUUGGUUGNNAAAACUUNAAACNU